GCGGUAGCUCAGUUGGAACGGAGCUCGGCUUCUAACCAAGUGGUUCCAGAUUCGAAACGCGCGGGCGUCGAUUAAAUGUGGGGACCGGAUGCCCCUAGCCUGGACACGGGGUCUAGAAGUGCUACUGGUCGGCUGGUAGCCUUGGUGGUGCCAGGUGUGACGUACUCACACGUGGUUCUCGAGCCGGAGCCCAGAGGGGUAACCGAGCCGGGAUCACGGGUGGGGAGGGUAUGAGUAAUAUAUGGCUGGGGUCUGGUGAGCUGGGCCUAUACCAAACAGCCAUUCUGCCCGAAUCGAACAUAGUCCUGGC
Molecule: long non-coding RNA, 310 nt
Filed under: Phoenix dactylifera (date palm)
Lineage: Eukaryota; Viridiplantae; Streptophyta; Magnoliopsida; Arecales; Arecaceae
Description: long non-coding RNA (PDAC_LNC019958)
Source: RNAcentral